Molecule: non-coding RNA, 95 nt
Organism: Acanthosepion pharaonis
Lineage: Eukaryota; Metazoa; Mollusca; Cephalopoda; Sepiida; Sepiidae
Source: the annotation of a GenBank genome assembly
UAACACCGGCUCCCGUACGAUCACUGAAGUUAAGCAACAUCGAGCUUCGUCAGUACGUUGAUGGGUGACCGCUUGGGAAUACCAUGUGCUGUAAG